CUCAGCGAACCCAGCAGCCGCGCACGCGCCGCCCGCACGGGACGUGUCCGGGACGUGUCCGGGCCCGUCCUCACCCGUCCUCGCCCGCCUCGGGGCCGCCCGCGCGGCAGCACGGAGCUCGGUGCCCCGCUGCGCACCGCCGGCUAUCCGGGCGCGGCGCGGAGAAGACCGAGCCGCCGGCUGCAGGUCCGACCCCGCGCCCUUACCUCGUCGCCGCCUCGCCGCUCCCUUCAGCCGGAGGAGGGCCCCGAGGCGCCGCGCGUGACGCCGCGAGUUUACCCUACACAACUCUCGCCCGACCGGGCGCCGAGCCCCGCCCGCCCGCACGCUGCCAUGCGCCCCUCACCGCACCGCUCGGCUAUGCCGCCACGGGCUCCCCUCCGCCCGGCCCGCCCCGCGGGGCUGCGGAUGAUUGACGUGCAGGCGGGCCAAUCGCAGCGCGGGGCGCCUUCUCCACGAGCGGCGCGGGCCCGGCGCUGCGGCUCCCUCUGCUGGCGGCGCCGCCACGCGGUCGGUGUUGGAGGCGAGGCGCGCGUCAGCCGCUUCGUAUCCUGAAAUUUUAGGGGUGUUAUUUCGGAUUCAGUCUUAAAUUUUCAAGCCGUCUUGUGGUAAUUAUCAUCUGAGAGGCUUAAAAUGCUUUUGAGGGGUGCGCUGGAGUAGGAUGCAAGCAGCUGCUAGGGAUGCAAACUUUGUACCUCGUCGUCUGACUGCGCUGCGGGGACGCGGCGCUGGGCGGGCGGCGAGGCGAGGGGCAGCGACUGCGGCGUGCGAUGUCCGAGAGACACGUGGAGGAAGUAUGAGCGAGGGCUGCGGUGUGCGCUUGUGGAAGUGUUUAGAAACAGAAGUGUUGAUAACUGGAGAUGCUUCCAAGAAAUACAUGCAGGAGUCAAGAUACAGCAAAGCAGAACUGUGGUGUUUAAGGUUCGCCAGUUUCCUCAUUGCCAUCUCUGUGAGAUGAGGAUUUCCA
This 967-nucleotide long non-coding RNA is filed under the name Phasianus colchicus (ring-necked pheasant). Its description in RNAcentral is "lncRNA (ENSPCLG00000008827.1)". The record is from RNAcentral. Lineage: Eukaryota; Metazoa; Chordata; Aves; Galliformes; Phasianidae.